Helianthus annuus (common sunflower) is the source of this 520-nucleotide long non-coding RNA. RefSeq lists it as uncharacterized. The transcript has 2 exons. The record is from RefSeq and is a predicted model, not a curated record. NCBI's taxonomy places the organism in Eukaryota, Viridiplantae, Streptophyta, Magnoliopsida, Asterales, Asteraceae.
AUGCAAAGUAUUACACCUUUAUCUUGACAUAUACUUCUCAAGAAAUGGGUGCAAGAAUCUGUUUUGUUAUACUAUUCUUUUGGGCACUUCUCACCAUCAUCACGCCUAUUCUCGUUCGGCUGUCCACCAAUCCAAAUCCCUUGGAAUGUUACGAUGAAGACGAGAGUGACUUUCUAAGUGGUAUAGGGUGGAGUUUCUGGUUGAAGAGAAGAUGUGAAUGUACCAGUUCUGUUGAAACGGUAUCCACGCCAGCACCGGAACCAGCAUCAACAAUUUCUGAUCUACGUACACCUCAUUUUUAUAUGAUGGAAAUAAACUGCAAGGGUUUGUCUAGAAAAUUUUUAGUGACAAGUCAGAUGCAAUAAAAUUAUGCUUAAUCGGAAUAGGCAGCUCAAUGUAUAUUCUUUAGGUAAUACAUAUUUGGUGUACAAUAAUUAUAUUGUAUAUAUGAUUGUUCAUCCUGCCUUUUCAUGGUAGAUGUGGGAUUAAUUUCACGUCUUUGUGUUGGUUCAUGUGUUUA